RNAcentral lists this small RNA (473 nucleotides) under Histoplasma ohiense. Its description in RNAcentral is "hypothetical lncRNA". The record is from RNAcentral. Lineage: Eukaryota; Fungi; Ascomycota; Eurotiomycetes; Onygenales; Ajellomycetaceae.
GCAACACUUUUGCCCAGCCUCUUUCAGGUUCAAAAAUGGGGGAGAGGAAAAUCCUGAUCUCCCUUGGUUUUUCCAUUCUACUACUGUCCAAUACAUGUCCUUCAAACCUUUAAUUGAAUGUGAUUCUCUAAACGCCAUUGAAUGAUUCGUCCGGCUAAAAUUGAUCCAUUAUCUAUUCCCAUGGAUAUCUGGCCGGACAUGUCUGGCUCAGGCAACCUGGCAGCGAGAUUGCCCACUUUUUUGGGAAAGAUGAUGACCACCAAAACUCAACGGCGUGGGAACUAUAGAGUGGUGAAGCGAGACCGAUAGAUAGCUUCCCGUCACUGUGUUGCGGGAUGGACUUACUUCUUAGCCUCAUCGGCAUGAACAGUCAUGUUAUCAUCCAACGCGAGGCGUGGCAUUGGCUCUGGCGCAUUUCUCUGUGACUUCAGAAAUGCUUCGCGCGCCUCCCAGGUCUGAGAACGUGAUUCGGG